Long non-coding RNA from Macaca fascicularis (crab-eating macaque), 2277 nucleotides. Lineage: Eukaryota; Metazoa; Chordata; Mammalia; Primates; Cercopithecidae. The record is from Ensembl.
UUGUCUUUGGGAGCCUUUUAAUAAUGUGGCCAGCUUAUCAUGACAAGCGUGUAUGAGAAGUAAAAUGCAUUCUGCACACGACAGAUGAUGAACUACCCGAAAUAUCUUGUGAGAAGCUCUGGCAGGAACAACAGGGUGUCUGGAUUCUUAAGCACAGCGCAUUCAGCAGCCAGACCCAGAAAAUCAGAGGCAGCGUCGGGAAGCUACUGCGCGUUUGUAAGGAGUCCGGCUGUCCACACAAGGGCGCUAUUUUGGGACUCGGGCUUCUCAGCCUGUGACCUGCUGAAACCAUUCAUGCCGGCAUCGUCCCUAUUGGAAACUCUUUGAAGUUAUUUUCGAAAUGAGAAUCGACUCAAUCUAUUCCACUACAGUUUCAUACAAAGCAUAUUUUUUCUCAUUUCAAAAUAAUUUCAGACUUCCAAAAAGUUCCAAAAAUAGGACGGUGUGUAUACUCGGUUCCCCAAAUAACAUCUUACAUAACACUGGGUGAGCGCUGGCAGUCACUUCGCAGAAGGCCCCUCGGUCUGGGUCUGUGUCUGAUGUCUCCUCGGGAUUACAUUCAGGUCAUGCAGUUGGGCAAGAGAAACAGAGGUGACACCGUGCUCUCAGUGAGGUCACCAGGUCGCUGUUGCCUGUGUGGCUCGCUCCCGGCAGUGACUGCUGGGUUAGGGGGGCUUCCGCUGCUCUGCUGUGAUGUGACCACUGUCUCCUUGGAGGGAGUACACAUCUCAAGGGAAGGUUUCUCAAGAUUCAGCAGACACCUGCUUCACACCACACCUCACCACUCGCUUCAUGUCAACUGAGGGUUCUUUUUUUUUUGAGACAGUUGUCGCCCACGCUGGAGGGCGGUGGCACAAUCUCGGCUCACUGCAACCUCCGCCUCCUGGUUUAAGCGAUUCUCCCACCUCAGCCUCCCGAGUAGCUGGGAUUACAGGCAUGCGCUACCAGUCCCAGCUAAUUUUUGUAUUUUUAGUAGAGACGGGGUUUCUCCAUGUUGGCCAGGCUGGUCUCGAACUCCUGGCCUCAAGUGACCUGCCUGCCUUGGCCUCCCAGUGUUGGGAUUAUAGAUGUGAGCCACCACGCCUGGCCCACUGAGGGUUGUAAUCUGCAUCCGUCACCACUGUGGUUUCUGCAAUAGCAAUUUCCUGUUCCCAAAAUUCCUUCUACAUUAGAAUUAAUAAGACAGACCUGGCCCUCCCCUCAUUGAUACCCAAUUACUUAUUUUGUAUAGACUAGUGGAUACCAAUUUAUUCUGUGAGCUACAGCCCAUUACAAUAAUUAAUUUUCUUUUUUUUUUUUUUUUUGAGACAAGGUCCUGCUUUGUUGCCCAGGCUGCAGAGCAGUGGUAUAAUCGUGGCUCACUGCAGACUUAACCUCUGGCUCACGUGAUCCUCCCACCUCAGCCUCCCGAGUAUCUGGGACUACAGGCGGGUGACACCACACACAGCUGAUUUUUCUUAUGUUUUGUAGAGACAGGUUUCACCAUGGUACCCAGGCUGGUCUCGAACUCCUGGCCUCAAGCGAUCCUCCCACCUUGGCCUCCUACAGUGCAGGGAUUGCAGGUGUGAGCCACUGCGCCCAGCCUGUUUAUUUUCAUGCUGAACUCCUGGCCUCAAGUGAUCCUCCCACCUCGGCCUCGCAGCGUGCUGGAAUUGCAGACGAGCUGCCGGGCCCGGCCUGUUUAUUUUCAUGCUCAAAUUGCCCCAGGUUGGCCAUCGUGUGCUCCUUCCUAUCCCCCAGUGUUAUUUCAAUAAGCCCCUUCAUCUCAGCAAUUCUUCACUCUCUGGCUUAUCCAAUACCUUCUCUGGCCUGGCCCUGGUUCCUUUGGUUAGAGAAUGGUAUCAGGGCCAAGACCCUGAGUGUGGGGGGCGCUGCGUUCAGGCCUUCAGGGCAGAGCUGGGAAGCAUUUGUGCACAGCCCCUCACAAUAGUCCCCUUUACACACAGUUUCAGUUACCCAUGGUCAGCCACGCUCCAAAAAUACUAAGUGGAAAAUUCCAGAAAUAAACCAUUCAUGAGUUUUCAAUUCCAUGCUGUUCUGAGCAGCUGUCCUGCCGGGACGUGAACCCUCCCUCUGUCCAGCAUUCCAGGCUGUCCACGCCACCCUGCCUGCCAGGCACUCAGUAGCCAUCUCGGUGAUCAGACCUACCGUCACGGUGAUGCGGCGCCUGGGUCCAAGAAGCCUUUAUUUUACUUAAUAAUGGCCCCAAAGCACAAGAGUGGUGAUGCAGGCGACUCAGACAUACCAGAGAAGCUGCCAAGUGCUUCCUUUAAGGGA